GAUGAAGAACGUAGCGAAAUGCGAUAAGUAAUGCGAAUUGCAGAAUUCCGUGAGUCAUCGAAUCUUUGAACGCACAUUGCGCCCUCUGGUAUUCCGGAGGGCAUGCCUGUCUGAGCGUCAUUGUCAACCCUCAAGCUCAGCUUGCUGUUGGGUCCCCGUCGUUGCUUUAACGGCGGACCCGAAAGGUAAUGUCAGAGUCCGUGAGACCCUAGACGCAGCGAGCUUCUAGCACGCGUCUGGACGUUUUUCGGGCUCGGUCUUAACUAGAUGAUAACUUCCGAUUGACCUCAGAUCAGGUAGGGAUACCCGCUGAACUUAAGCAUAUCAAUAAGCGGAGGA
Molecule: unclassified non-coding RNA, 339 nt
Filed under: soil metagenome
Description: partial contains 5.8S ribosomal RNA, internal transcribed spacer 2, and large subunit ribosomal RNA
Rfam family: 5.8S ribosomal RNA (bases 1-120)
Source: RNAcentral